GAGACACCAGGAAGAGGCAGAGUCGCUUAGCAGGAUCUUCAUUCUUGCCCUGCUCUCCCGGCCUGGCACCCUCCCACUGAGGACGGGAGAUGGCUCUGGGGAAAUUCCAUUCCAUAAUUCAUUUAAGCAGGAUAAACAGAGCUCCUGCUCUGGAAGAUCCAGCCCUGAGCAAAAGGCACUUGGAAUCGACAUGGGGGGCUCGAAUGUCCCUGUGAAACAUAAACAUAAGGAGGCAGGAGACAUGAGAUGCAGCCGGCUCUGACCCCAAAGAGCCAUGGGACCUGACCACCUGGGAGGAGCUGGAGGACAAAGGACUUCACAGAAGAAUGGAGUCCCAAAGAAACAGCUUCAGGAACUGAGGAGAGCCAGAAAUUUAAUGUAUUUAGGGCUCCCUUGUGAAAACACAAAAACAAAAAUAAAAAUGCCUCCCGCUGCCUCGACAUCUCUA
RNAcentral lists this long non-coding RNA (448 nucleotides) under Homo sapiens (human). RNAcentral's name for it is "HSALNT0327320". Lineage: Eukaryota; Metazoa; Chordata; Mammalia; Primates; Hominidae. The record is from RNAcentral.